GCGGGCCGUCCGGGACAGGAGCGCAACCUGGCGGGACACCUAGGCACGGCCGCGAGGAAAGCACGCCGCGGCUCCAGCAGGAACAAAGUCGGUGCAGUUGACGAAGUCUUGCGAAACAUGCACCGCUAGUGAAAUGCCACAGAAUUAUUCACAAUAAGGGAACCGUAUCGCAGUUUUAAGGACAGCGAAUGAUCUUCGUUGCGCCAAUGAUGUUACAUUAAGCAGAGUUCCUAAUCAGGAGGAAGUGAGUUGUUAGACUUCGUAAUAUUUGCGACGAUAACUCUACUGUGCGGGCACCGGCUACGUUCCUGAGGAGACAGCAGGCCGUCAAAAUAUUGAGAAGCAGCGGGUCUCCAUCCACUGGAACCGCUCAAUAUGUCGAACAAAGGCAGCUCAUCAGCUUCUGGGAGACUCACCUGUAUUCCAACCCAAUCAUUCUUACCU
Schistocerca gregaria is the source of this 444-nucleotide long non-coding RNA. RefSeq lists it as uncharacterized. The transcript is spliced from 3 exons. The record is from RefSeq and is a predicted model, not a curated record. Lineage: Eukaryota; Metazoa; Arthropoda; Insecta; Orthoptera; Acrididae.